UUUAUUCAUCAGUCUGGUUGAUGUUAAUAGUGGGGAGGAUGAAUAAGAGGAGAUAUUGGAAAAUGAGGAAGCGGAGUAACUACACGGAAUGUUGGCCCAAAGGAUUGAUUCUAAAUAAUUGUUUCACUGGAAAUGAACAAGCACUCUUGGAGGAUUGAAGAGGAAGAAGUUUUUGAGGAAAAUUUCAAUUGUUGUAAUGAUUUCAAUAACUGAAUGAUCUGUAAUAGAGA
Molecule: long non-coding RNA, 230 nt
Organism: Ceratina calcarata
Lineage: Eukaryota; Metazoa; Arthropoda; Insecta; Hymenoptera; Apidae
Exons: 3
Source: RefSeq, a predicted model, not a curated record